RNAcentral lists this long non-coding RNA (773 nucleotides) under Oryctolagus cuniculus (rabbit). RNAcentral describes it as "lncRNA (ENSOCUG00000033733.1)". The record is from RNAcentral. Lineage: Eukaryota; Metazoa; Chordata; Mammalia; Lagomorpha; Leporidae.
UGUGAGAUCUUCACAGCAAACAGCCUUCGGCACAGUUAGGACGUCAGUGCCCCGUAAGUAGACCUGUGCUGCCUAGGGGCUGUGCAUACAGGAGCAGCCACGCCCACGCCAGCUCACUAACACCCAGCUCUGUUGCAGCCGCUCCAGCCCGGCCCAGGGGGUGCCUGCUGCUGCCCACGGGCUCAUCGGCCCCUGACAGGGUGGAGUCCAUGGAGGUUGACCUUACCCCUUCUCCAGUGAGAAGACCUCAGCCCGAGGUGGCAGCCGGCCCCACGCGGAUGUCUCUGAUUAGCCCACCUCAAGAUGGGCGCAUGGGAUCCCACCGUUGCAGAUCCCCCACAAGGGACCCACACAGACCCCAGCAGCCCAGGCAGCGGGCAGAGCAACGAGAGGAGGCUCCCCUGGCCUCGGUGGCUCCCAGGCGGCAGCGCCCAGGCCGCCCAUCAGCAUCUCCGGCCUGCUGCAUAGGCCGUGCCCAGGGUCUGCUCACCACAGGGGAGUCACACAGAGAAGAUGAGCCCCAGCAGGUGUACCCUGGAUGGUUUCUUCCUCCAGGUGCCACUAAGUCAUGUGACCGCAUAGUUACUUCUCGGGUUACCUGGGGCAGCACAAACGUGAUAUGCUUGAAACUGCUCUUCUUACUGCCUUACAAUGAGUGCCCACACGUGGCCGGCGCUGUGGCCUGCAGCACCUGCAUCCCAGUGGGCGCCGGUUCGAGUCCCGGCUGCUCCUCUUCCAAUCCAGCUCUCUGCUGUGGCCUGGGAAAGCGGUAG